AUACGUAGGGGGCGAGCGUUGUCCGGAAUGAUUGGGCGUAAAGGGCGCGUAGGCGGCCUGUUAAGUCUGGAGUGAAAGUCCUGUUUUCAAGGUGGGAUUUGCUUUGGAUACUGCCGCGCUUGAGUGCAGGAGAGAUUAUCGGAAUUCCCGGUGUAGCGGUGAAAUGCGUAGAGAUCGGGAGGAACACCAGUGGCGAAGGCGGGUAACUGGACUGCAACUGACGCUGAGGCGCGAAAGUGUGGGGAGCAAACAGGAUUAGAUACCCUGGUAGUCCACACUGUAAACGAUGAAUGCUAGGUGUAAGAGGUAUCGACCCCUUUUGUGCCGGAGUCAACACAAUAAGCAUUCCGCCUGGGGAGUACGGCCGCAAGGUUGAAACUCAAAGGAAUUGACGGGG
This 397-nucleotide ribosomal RNA is filed under the name uncultured bacterium. RNAcentral describes it as "partial 16S ribosomal RNA". It matches the Rfam family "Bacterial small subunit ribosomal RNA", at positions 523 to 918 of the family's 1533-position model. The record is from RNAcentral.